UACGGAAGGCAGCAGUGGGGAAUAUUGCACAAUGGGCGCAAGCCUGAUGCAGCCAUGCCGCGUGUAUGAAGAAGGCCUUCGGGUUGUAAAGUACUUUCAGUCGUGAGGAAGGUGUUAAGGUUAAUAACCUUAGCAAUUGACGUUAGCGACAGAAGAAGCACCGGCUAACUCCGUGCCAGCAGCCGCGGUAAUACGGAGGGUGCGAGCGUUAAUCGGAAUUACUGGGCGUAAAGGGCACGCAGGCGGUUAAUUAAGUUGGAUGUGAAAUCCCCGGGCUUAACCUGGGAAUGGCAUUCAAGACUGGUUAGCUAGAGUCUUGUAGAGGGGGUUAGAAUUCCAUGUGUAGCGGUGAAAUGCGUAGAGAUGUGGAGGAAUACCGGUGGCGAAGGCGGCCCCUGGACAAAGGACUGACGCUCAUGUGCGAAAGCGUGGGGAGCAAACAGGGAUUAGAUACC
RNAcentral lists this ribosomal RNA (455 nucleotides) under uncultured bacterium. RNAcentral describes it as "bacterial SSU rRNA". It matches the Rfam family "Bacterial small subunit ribosomal RNA", at positions 340 to 786 of the family's 1533-position model. The record is from RNAcentral.